ACGCUCGACACCUACGGGAGCAGCAGUGGGGAAUAUUGCACAAUGGGGGAAACCCUGAUGCAGCGACGCCGCGUGAGCGAAGAAGUAUUUCGGUAUGUAAAGCUCUAUCAGCAGGGAAGAAGAAAGACGGUACCUGACUAAGAAGCCCCGGCUAACUACGUGCCAGCACGCCGACGGUAAUCUGAGGCGGGCGUGGACGAAGGC
RNAcentral lists this ribosomal RNA (204 nucleotides) under uncultured bacterium. RNAcentral describes it as "partial 16S ribosomal RNA". It matches the Rfam family "Bacterial small subunit ribosomal RNA", at positions 328 to 538 of the family's 1533-position model. The record is from RNAcentral.